Molecule: long non-coding RNA, 221 nt
Organism: Sinocyclocheilus rhinocerous
Lineage: Eukaryota; Metazoa; Chordata; Actinopteri; Cypriniformes; Cyprinidae
Exons: 3
Source: RefSeq, a predicted model, not a curated record
CAAAGGAGGAGAAUCAAAUUUAGUGUUGCACUGAACGUGACCUUGCGGUGUUUUCUCUCAGGUCCUUGUGAUUUCAAUCCGCACAGAUGGAUCCUAAUUGGUCAGAUCAGGCUGUUGCUGAUUUACUUCUGCCCUGAAUACACUAAAUAUGAAGACUCACUGACGACAUGUUCAAAAGGAGAGCCCGAGACCCUAACCCUAACACAAUAAAACAUAUAAUC